Molecule: ribosomal RNA, 497 nt
Filed under: uncultured bacterium
Lineage: Bacteria
Description: partial 16S ribosomal RNA
Rfam family: Bacterial small subunit ribosomal RNA
Source: RNAcentral
UCUGCCCGCUGGCGGCGUGCCUAAUACAUGCAAGUCGAGCGAACAGACGAGGAGCUUGCUCCUCUGACGUUAGCGGCGGACGGGUGAGUAACACGUGGAUAACCUACCUAUAAGACUGGGAUAACUUCGGGAAACCGGAGCUAAUACCGGAUAAUAUAUUGAACCGCAUGGUUCAAUAGUGAAAGACGGUUUUGCUGUCACUUAUAGAUGGAUCCGCGCCGCAUUAGCUAGUUGGUAAGGUAACGGCUUACCAGGGCAACGAUGCGUAGCCGACCUGAGAGGGUGAUCGGCCACACUGGAACUGAGACACGGUCCAGACUCCUACGGGAGGCAGCAGUAGGGAAUCUUCCGCAAUGGGCGAAAGCCUGACGGAGCAACGCCGCGUGAGUGAUGAAGGUCUUCGGAUCGUAAAACUCUGUUAUUAGGGAAGAACAAAUGUGUAAGUAACUAUGCACGUCUUGACGGUACCUAAUCAGAAAGCCACGGCUAACUACGUG